UAGGGAAUCUUCGGCAAUGGGGGGAACCCUGACCGAGCAACGCCGCGUGAGUGAAGAAGGUUUUCGGAUCGUAAAGCUCUGUUGUUAAGGAAGAACGAGUGUGAGAAUGGAAAGUUCAUGCUGUGACGGUACUUAACCAGAAAGGGACGGCUAACUACGUGCCAGCAGCCGCGGUAAUACGUAGGUCCCGAGCGUUGUCCGGAUUUAUUGAGCGUAAAGCGAGCGCAGGCGGUUAGAAAAGUCUGAAGUGAAAGGCAGUGGCUCAACCAUUGUAGGCUUUGGAAACUGUUUAACUUGAGUGCAGAAGGGGAGAGUGGAAUUCCAUGUGUAGCGGUGAAAUGCGUAGAUAUAUGGAGGAACACCGGUGGCGAAAGCGGCUCUCUGGUCUGUAACUGACGCUGAGGCUCGAAAGCGUGGGGAGCGAACAGG
RNAcentral lists this ribosomal RNA (429 nucleotides) under Bacteroidota bacterium. RNAcentral describes it as "Bacteroidetes bacterium partial 16S ribosomal RNA". It matches the Rfam family "Bacterial small subunit ribosomal RNA", at positions 355 to 776 of the family's 1533-position model. RNAcentral also lists the same sequence under 1 other name. The record is from RNAcentral. Lineage: Bacteria; Pseudomonadati; Bacteroidota.